This 231-nucleotide unclassified non-coding RNA is filed under the name plant metagenome. Its description in RNAcentral is "partial contains small subunit ribosomal RNA, internal transcribed spacer 1, and 5.8S ribosomal RNA". The record is from RNAcentral.
UCUCCGUAGGUGAACCUGCGGAGGGAUCAUUACAGAGUUCAUGCCCUUCCGGGUAGAUCUCCACCCUGUGUUAUCGUCACCUUUGUUGCUUUGGCGGGCCGCCCAGGCCUUGGCCCGGCUACCGGCUCCGGCUGGUACGCGCCCGCCAGAGGACCCUAAACUCUUGAAUAUCAGUGUCGUCUGAGUACUAUGUAAUAGUUAAAACUUUCAACAACGGAUCUCUUGGUUCUG